GGGUGGUUUUGUUGAGAAUUAGCUACACAACAAUUGUAUUAGAUGCCGAAUAAGACACUCUGACUUUUAAUCAGGGUGUCACAGGUUAGAGACCUGUACGGCCUACCA
Molecule: transfer RNA, 108 nt
Filed under: Dehalococcoidia bacterium
Lineage: Bacteria; Bacillati; Chloroflexota; Dehalococcoidia
Also listed under: 1 other name
Description: tRNA-Lys
Source: RNAcentral